RNAcentral lists this unclassified non-coding RNA (329 nucleotides) under soil metagenome. RNAcentral describes it as "partial contains 5.8S ribosomal RNA, internal transcribed spacer 2, and large subunit ribosomal RNA". The stretch from base 1 to 120 matches the Rfam family "5.8S ribosomal RNA", at positions 35 to 154 of the family's 154-position model. The record is from RNAcentral.
GAUGAAGAACGUAGCGAAAUGCGAUAAGUAAUGUGAAUUGCAGAAUUCAGUGAAUCAUCGAAUCUUUGAACGCAUCUUGCGCUCCUUGGUAUUCCGAGGAGCAUGCCUGUUUGAGUGUCAUUACAACCCUCAAGCUCAGCUUGGUGUUGGGCCCCGCCGCCCCGGCGGGCCCUAAAGUCAGUGGCGGUGCCGUCCGGCUCCGAGCGUAGUAAUUCUUCUCGCUCUGGAGGUCCGGUCGUGUGCUCGCCAGCAACCCCCAAUUUUUUUCAGGUUGACCUCGGAUCAGGUAGGGAUACCCGCUGAACUUAAGCAUAUCAAUAAGCGGAGGA